RNAcentral lists this ribosomal RNA (483 nucleotides) under uncultured bacterium. RNAcentral's name for it is "bacterial SSU rRNA". It matches the Rfam family "Bacterial small subunit ribosomal RNA", at positions 30 to 507 of the family's 1533-position model. The record is from RNAcentral.
UUGAACGCUGGCGGCAGGCCUAACACAUGCAAGUCGAGCGGAUGAGUGGAGCUUGCUCCAUGAUUCAGCGGCGGACGGGUGAGUAAUGCCUAGGAAUCUGCCUGGUAGUGGGGGACAACGUUUCGAAAGGAACGCUAAUACCGCAUACGUCCUACGGGAGAAAGCAGGGGACCUUCGGGCCUUGCGCUAUCAGAUGAGCCUAGGUCGGAUUAGCUAGUAGGUGAGGUAAUGGCUCACCUAGGCGACGAUCCGUAACUGGUCUGAGAGGAUGAUCAGUCACACUGGAACUGAGACACGGUCCAGACUCCUACGGGAGGCAGCAGUGGGGAAUAUUGGACAAUGGGCGAAAGCCUGAUCCAGCCAUGCCGCGUGUGUGAAGAAGGUCUUCGGAUUGUAAAGCACUUUAAGUUGGGAGGAAGGGUAGUAACCUAAUACGUUGCUACUUUGACGUUACCGACAGAAUAAGCACCGGCUAACUUCGUG